Molecule: unclassified non-coding RNA, 25 nt
Filed under: Dictyostelium discoideum
Lineage: Eukaryota; Evosea; Eumycetozoa; Dictyosteliales; Dictyosteliaceae
Source: RNAcentral
CAUGGUUCGGUCCCAUGUCUAGGCG